UACGUAGGGACCGAGCGUUGUCCGGAAUCAUUGGGCGUAAAGAGCGUGUAGGCGGCCUUUUAAGUCCUGCGUGAAAUCCUGCGGCUCAACCGCAGACGGUCGUGGGAAACUGGAAGGCUAGAGUGCGGGAGAGGAGAGUGGAAUUCCCGGUGUAGCGGUGAAAUGCGCAGAUAUCAGGAGGAACACCGGUGGUGUAGACGGCUUACUGGACCAUAACUGACGCUGAGACACGAAAGCGUGGGUAGCAAACAGG
This 253-nucleotide ribosomal RNA is filed under the name uncultured bacterium. Its description in RNAcentral is "partial 16S ribosomal RNA". It matches the Rfam family "Bacterial small subunit ribosomal RNA", at positions 524 to 776 of the family's 1533-position model. The record is from RNAcentral.